UACCAACCCGAUGCAAACUACGAAUACCGAAGAAUGUUAUCACGGGAGACACACGGCGGGUGCUAACGUCCGUCGUGAAGAGGGAAACAACCCAGACCGCCAGCUAAGGUCCCAAAGUCAUGGUUAAGUGGGAAACGAUGUGGGAAGGCACAGACAGCCAGGAUGUUGGCUUAGAAGCAGCCAUCAUUUAAAGAAAGCGUAAUAGCU
Molecule: ribosomal RNA, 207 nt
Filed under: Klebsiella pneumoniae
Lineage: Bacteria; Pseudomonadati; Pseudomonadota; Gammaproteobacteria; Enterobacterales; Enterobacteriaceae
Description: partial 23S ribosomal RNA
Rfam family: Bacterial large subunit ribosomal RNA
Source: RNAcentral